UACGAACUGUGCGAACGUUAUUCGGAAUCACUGGGCUUAAAGGGCGCGUAGGCGGGCUGACAAGUCUGGGGUGAAAUGCCGCGGCUCAACCGUGGAACUGCCUUAGAUACUGUCGGCCUCGAGGAAGGUAGGGGCAUGCGGAACUGUAGGUGGAGCGGUGAAAUGCGUUGAUAUCUACAGGAACUCCGGUGGCGAAAGCGGCGUGCUGGACCUUUUCUGACGCUGAGGCGCGAAAGCUAGGGGAGCAAACGGG
RNAcentral lists this ribosomal RNA (253 nucleotides) under uncultured bacterium. Its description in RNAcentral is "partial 16S ribosomal RNA". It matches the Rfam family "Bacterial small subunit ribosomal RNA", at positions 524 to 776 of the family's 1533-position model. The record is from RNAcentral.